UCUCUUGGUAUUGUCAUUGCUGUUUUCAAAG
This 31-nucleotide non-coding RNA is filed under the name Mus musculus (house mouse). Lineage: Eukaryota; Metazoa; Chordata; Mammalia; Rodentia; Muridae. The record is from RNAcentral.